AAUCCGCCGGGCUUAGAUGAGGGGUGAUAACGAGGCUGCUUGCAGCCGAAGUGAGUGAUACCCUGCUUCCAGGAAAAGCCACUAAGCUUCAGCUACACACGACCGUACCGCAAACCGACACUGGUGCGCGAGAUGAGUAUUCUAAGGCGCUUGAGAGAACUCAGGAGAAGGAACUCGGCAAAUUGACACCGUAACUUCGGAAGAAGGUGUGCCUUUAGUAGGUGAACCUGUACAAGGGGAGCCCAAUGAGGUUGCAAAAAAUCGGUGGCUGCGACUGUUUAUUAAAAACACAGCACUCUGCAAACACGAAAGUGGACGUAUAGGGUGUGACGCCUGCCCGGUGCUGGAAGAUUAAAUGAUGGGGUGCAAGCUCUUGAUUGAAGUCCCAGUAAACGGCGGCCGUAACGAUAACGGUCCUAAGGUAGCGAAAUUCCUUGUCGGGUAAGUUCCGACCUGCACGAAUGGCGUAACGAUGGCCACACUGUCUCCUCCUGAGACUCAGCGAAGUUGAAAUGUUUGUGAUGAUGCAAUCUCCCCGCGGAAAGACGGAAAGACCCCAUGAACCUUUACUGUAGCUUUGUAUUGGACUUUGAACAGAUCUGUGUAGGAUAGGUGGGAGGCUUUGAAGCAGGGUCGCUAGAUCUUGUGGAGCCAACGUUGAAAUACCACCCUGGUGUGUUUGAGGUUCUAACCUAGGUCCAUUAUCUGGAUCGGGGACAGUGCAUGGUAGGCAGUUUGACUGGGGCGGUCUCCUCCCAAAGCGUAACGGAGGAGUUCGAAGGUACGCUAGUUACGGUCGGACAUCGUGACGAUAGUGCAAUGGCAUAAGCGUGCUUAACUGCGAGACUGACAAGUCGAGCAGAUGCGAAAGCAGGACAUAGUGAUCCGGUGGUUCUUAUGGAAGGGCCAUCGCUCAACGGAUAAAAGGUACUCUGGGGAUAACAGGCUGAUACCGCCCAAGAGUUCGUAUCGACGGCGGUGUUUGGCACCUCGAUGUCGGCUCAUCUCAUCCUGGGGCUGUAGCCGGUCCCAAGGGUAUGGCUGUUCGCCAUUUAAAGAGGUACGUGAGCUGGGUUUAAAACGUCGUGAGACAGUUUGGUCCCUAUCUUCCGUGGGCGCUGCAGAUUUGAGGAAGCCUGCUCCUAGUACGAGAGGACCGGAGUGGACAUACCUCUGGUGUAUCGGUUGUCACGCCAGUGGCAUUGCCGAGUAGCUAAGUAUGGAAGAGAUAAACGCUGAAAGCAUCUAAGCGUGAAACUCGUUUCAAGAUGAGAUCUGCCGGGGCCUUGAGCCCCCUAAAGAGUCGUCCAAGACCAGGACGUUGAUAGGUCAGGUGUGGAAGCGCAGUAAUGCGUUAAGCUAACUGAUACUAAUUGCUCGUGCGGCUUGACC
RNAcentral lists this ribosomal RNA (1392 nucleotides) under metagenome. RNAcentral's name for it is "bacterial LSU rRNA". It matches the Rfam family "Bacterial large subunit ribosomal RNA", at positions 1539 to 2925 of the family's 2925-position model. The record is from RNAcentral.